AUACAACGUAAAAAAAAAAAAAAGCCUUCAAAAAAAUUCUCUUUUCUGCCCUUUUGUUCUUCUUUUUCUUCUUUUAUCCAUUCACACAUUGUUUUUAUUGUUAACA
This 106-nucleotide non-coding RNA is filed under the name Pteridomonas danica. The record is from RNAcentral. Lineage: Eukaryota; Dictyochophyceae; Pedinellales.